Long non-coding RNA from Hemicordylus capensis (graceful crag lizard), 721 nucleotides. RefSeq lists it as uncharacterized. The record is from RefSeq and is a predicted model, not a curated record. The transcript has 3 exons. Lineage: Eukaryota; Metazoa; Chordata; Lepidosauria; Squamata; Cordylidae.
CUAGAACCACUAGCAGGAUAAGAAAAGAUAACUCAUUUGUAACAGAACAGUUAUAUUCUGCUUCAGUGCUUUUGCAGUCUCCCCACUGCUCAACAGCCGAAAUCUCCCAUGGUAUUUGUGACUCCUAACAACAACGUCUUCGGAUGAAAUGAUAAAGCUGAAACCUGAAGGCACUCAAAGGAAACAGUAAAGACAAUGAAAUGAAGAUGCAUGGAGCAGAAUCUUUGUGGAAAAGCCUGCCAGGUUUGAACACCACUUCAAAAUAAGAUGUGCUGUAGGAAAGUCUCCUUCAGUGGAUGAUGUCACAUUCCCCCAGAAAUAACAGGGUCCUAAAGCCCGGAUGCCAGGAAAAGAAUGAUGUGUGCUUGACAGCGCAUCCUAAUCAAUCAAGGCUGAAGACAUGAGUAGAGGUGAAGAGCGCAGCAGAACAUCAAAGGAUUUCUCCUCCUAUGCCUUGGACAGAGGAGAUAAAGUCUGUAAAGAUGGAACAACCAUGACGCCACUGACGCCAGGGUGAGAGGAGUGAAGAACUGAACGUCUGAGGCAAGGACUCCAGAAAUGGCAUAAUUGCAUUCCAAUGAAGGAAGUGAAGGGGAUGAUAUCAAAGACCAUCCAAGGCUCAGAAGAGUAUAACAACUCGGAGUCCGGACCAGAAGCGCAGAGGGCCGAUAUUAAACCCAGAGAGACAGGUCUCAUCCCUCUCCAACACUGCUCAGCACUC